GCGUUACUGCCGGCGCCGACCUACCUGCCGGUUUGCGCGCGGUGCUUUUCUCCGAGUGCCGCGCGUGGCCGGAACGUUUACUUUGAAAAAAUUAGAGUGCUCAAAGCAGGCGUCUCGCCUGAAUAGUAGUGCAUGGAAUAAUGGAAUAGGACCUCGGUUCUAUUUUGUUGGUUUUCGGAGCUCGAGGUAAUGAUUAAGAGGGACGGACGGGGGCAUUCGUAUUACGGUGUUAGAGGUGAAAUUCUUGGAUCGCCGUAAGACGAACUACUGCGAAAGCAUUUGCCAAGAAUGUUUUCAUUAAUCAAGAACGAAAGUCAGAGGUUCGAAGACGAUCAGAUACCGUCG
Molecule: ribosomal RNA, 345 nt
Filed under: Glossiphoniidae environmental sample
Lineage: Eukaryota; Metazoa; Annelida; Clitellata; Rhynchobdellida; Glossiphoniidae
Description: SSU rRNA
Rfam family: Eukaryotic small subunit ribosomal RNA
Source: RNAcentral